Molecule: ribosomal RNA, 931 nt
Filed under: Diestrammena asynamora
Lineage: Eukaryota; Metazoa; Arthropoda; Insecta; Orthoptera; Rhaphidophoridae
Description: partial large subunit ribosomal RNA
Rfam family: Archaeal large subunit ribosomal RNA (bases 413-622)
Source: RNAcentral
UUAAUAUAUUAUUUUAGUUAACGUUUUAAAGUUAUUAAAUAUAAUAUGUUUGUAAUGAAAUGUUAUUCGUUUUUUAAGAUAUCUAGUUUUUCAAGAUUUAAAUUUAAUUUUAUUUAUUUGAGAAGUAAUAUUUAUUAAUUUAAUAUUUAUUUAUUUUUAAAUGAAAAUAUUUUGGGGGAUAAGCUCUGAAGUAAUUUAUAUAUAAAAUUGAUUAUUUUUUAUUUUGAUUGUAGGCUUUAAAUUAGCUUUCAUUUAAAGUUUGUUAUAAAUUUACAUAUAUUUUUAUAAAAAUUUUAUAUCUUUUUUAUGUUUUGUAUUGAAAUGGAUUUAUUAAUUUGUAAUAAGUCGUAAUAAUGAUUAAAUUAGUAUAAUUGAUUAUUUUAUAUAUGUUGUUUAAUUUUGGUUAAUUUAUUAUAAGGAACUAGGCAAAAUUAAUAAUUUGAGUAAUGCUCGCCUGUUUAUCAAAAACAUGUUUUUUUGUAUAAUAAUUUAAAAUUUGACCUGCCCACUGAUGAUUUAAUUGAAGGGCCGCGGUAUAUUGACCGUGCAAAGGUAGCAUAAUCAUUAGUCCUUUAAUUGUGGACUGGAAUGAAUGGUUUGACGAGGUAUUGACUGUCUCAUAUUAAUAAUUAGAAUUUAACUUUUAAGUUAAAAGGCUUAAAUGUUUUUAGAGGACGAGAAGACCCUAUAGAUCUUAAUAAUUUUAUUUUUAAUAUAUUUUUGGUUAAUUAUUUUUAUUAAAAGUAUAAUUAUUUUAUUGGGGUGAUGUAAAGAAUAAAAAAACUCUUUAUUUUUGAUAACAUUGAUUUAUGAUUAAUUGAUCCAUUAUUAGUGAUUAUAAGAUUAAGUUACCUUAGGGAUAACAGCGUUAUUUUUUUUGAGAGUUCUUAUCAACAAAAAAGAUUGCGACCUCGAUGUUGGAUUAAGGUAA